UGGGGAAUAUUGCACAAUGGGCGCAAGCCUGAUGCAGCCAUGCCGCGUGUAUGAAGAAGGCCUUCGGGUUGUAAAGUACUUUCAGCGAGGAGGAAGGCAUUAAGGUUAAUAACCACAGCAAUUGACGUUACUCGCAGAAGAAGCACCGGCUAACUCCGUGCCAGCAGCCGCGGUAAUACGGAGGGUGCAAGCGUUAAUCGGAAUUACUGGGCGUAAAGCGCACGCAGGCGGUCUGUCAAGUCGGAUGUGAAAUCCCCGGGCUCAACCUGGGAACUGCAUCCGAAACUGGCAGGCUAGAGUCUUGUAGAGGGGGUAGAAUUCCAGGUGUAGCGGUGAAAUUGCGUAGAGAUCUGGAGGAAUACCGGUGGCGAAGGCGGCCCCCUGGACAAAGACUGACGCUCAGGUGCGAAAGCGUGGGAGCAAACA
Molecule: ribosomal RNA, 426 nt
Filed under: uncultured Enterobacteriaceae bacterium
Lineage: Bacteria; Pseudomonadati; Pseudomonadota; Gammaproteobacteria; Enterobacterales; Enterobacteriaceae
Description: bacterial SSU rRNA
Rfam family: Bacterial small subunit ribosomal RNA
Source: RNAcentral